CUCGAAGAGAUUCUGGCAAACUGUAUGGCGCCUCAGGAAGGGGAAGCAGUGCCCUGUCAACACUGUUUACAGUGGAGGUGGGCAACUGUUGACCUCAACUGGGGAUAUCAUCGGACGGUGGAAGGAAUAUUUCAAGGAUCUCCUCAACCCCACCGACAUGCCUUCCGUUGAGGAAGCAGAGGCUGAGGGCUCAGAGGUGGACUUGUCCAUCACCCAAGCUGAAGUCACCGAGGUAGUUAAGAGGCUUCUUAGGGGCAAGGCACCAGGGGUGGAUGAGAUCCGCCCUGAGUACCUCAAGUCCCUGGAUGUUGUGGGGCUGUCUUGGCUGACACGUCUCUGCAGCAUCGUGUGGCGGUCGGGGACAUUGCCUCUGGAAUGGCAGACCAGGGUGGUGGUCCCUCUUUUCAAGAAAGGGGACCGGAGGGUGUGUUCCAACUACAGGGGGAUCACACCCCUCAGCGUUCCUGAGGUGCUGAGGUGGCUCGGGCAUCUGUUCUGGAUGUCCAUCACAUCCCACCGGGAGGAGGCCCCGGGGAAGACCGAGGACACGCUGGAGGGACUAUGUCUCUCGGCUGGCCUGGGAACGCCGGAAGAGCUGGAGCCUAAAAACAUGGAGAAAAUGGGGGUGUCAGAGACUUCCAUGGGAAAAAAAACAGAACAGGAGAAAACAGCAAUGGAUCCAGAUAUUAGAGUGAGACAACCAGAGAAAAGAGUAAUUGAACCUGAUAUUACAGAGAGAGAACUGGAUAGAAGAGCGAUGGAACUGGAUAGAAGAGCAUUUGACUUGCAUGUGGAACUAAACAGAAGAGGGAUGGAAAUGGAUAUUAGACAGAGAGAAAUUGAGAAAAGAGCAGAGAGAAGACAGACCGAACUGGAUAAAAGACUGAUGGACCUGUAUUUAAGGAAUAAGCUGUAUAUUAGAGACGAAGAAGCAAUGGAACUGUAUAAGAGAGAGAGAGAACUGGAUAGAAGAGAGAGUGAAAUGGAGAGAAGAGAGAGUGAACUGGAGAGAAGAGAGGGUGAACUGGAUAGAAGAGAGAGUGAACUGGAGAGAAGAGAGGGGGAACUGGAGAGAAGAGAGAGUGAACUGGAUAGAAGAGAGAGUGAACUGGAGAGAAGAGAGGGUGAACGGGAGAAAAGACAGAGUGAACUGGAUAGAAGAGAGAGUGAACUGGACAGAAGGACUAAAGGAUUGAAACCUCAUCGAAGUAGCAGCAAUGAGUUAGACCAUCCUAACAGUAAGAAUUAUGUUAUUUAUGCACAGUUUGAUUUAUGCAUGUGA
Cyprinus carpio (common carp) is the source of this 1282-nucleotide long non-coding RNA. Lineage: Eukaryota; Metazoa; Chordata; Actinopteri; Cypriniformes; Cyprinidae. The record is from Ensembl.